RNAcentral lists this ribosomal RNA (561 nucleotides) under Eriophyes eremus. Its description in RNAcentral is "partial large subunit ribosomal RNA". Lineage: Eukaryota; Metazoa; Arthropoda; Arachnida; Trombidiformes; Eriophyidae. The record is from RNAcentral.
GUUAAUUGGCAAACGAAUCGGAGCCACGAAGUCGUUUCGAUGCUAGUUGGGCCAAGUUCAGUUUGGGAACCAAAAGUUCUCAGGCGUAUUCCUGGUGCAACCAUUGUAAGCGUACACUGCAACCAGUUAGACAGUUGAAGAUGGAACCAGUUGGACUGGUUUUCGGACCAGGCUAGCGAAAAAUUUGUUUCCCAGAGAUAGUAGUAGCGGGGGGUCUUUCGGGGCUCUUUGUUGCUGGGCGUCUGGUAAGUGAACUAUCUUCAAGUACUGACUGGCAAAUUGAAAAUCACCCCUAUGGGUGUUUUACACAAUGCGGUUUGCAGUACUGGUGUCUACAUGCUUGACCAUGGGGUUUUAAGCUCGACAUCUUCGAAUUUGGACUGGCCUUCUACUAAGGGGCAACUUUUGGUGUUGGUUUAGCUUCCAUCUAAUCAGGUGUUGACUUGAUCCUAUGUUGUUCGAGUGUGAAACGAUUGGGCGCUAGUAUAAGUAAAUUCGCCAUUGAUUGGCAGUGAGUAGGUCGGCUUUCCGAACGACCCGUCUUGAAACACGGACCAAGGA